RNAcentral lists this ribosomal RNA (791 nucleotides) under uncultured archaeon. RNAcentral describes it as "bacterial SSU rRNA". It matches the Rfam family "Archaeal small subunit ribosomal RNA", at positions 85 to 879 of the family's 1478-position model. The record is from RNAcentral.
ACUGCUCAGUAACACGUAGUCAACAUGCCCAGGGGACGUGGAUAACCUCGGGAAACUGAGGAUAAACCGCGAUAAGCCAUGAUUUCUGGAAUGAUUCAUGACUAAAACCUAUAUGGCCCCUGGAUUGGACUGCGGCCGAUCAGGCUGUUGGUGAGGUAAUGGCCCACCAAACCUAUUACCGGUACGGGCUCUGAGAGGAGGAGCCCGGAGAUGGGCACUGAGACAAGGGCCCAGGCCCUAUGGGGCGCAGCAGGCGCGAAACCUCUGCAAUAGGCGAAAGCUUGACAGGGUUACUCUGAGUGAUUUCCGCUAAGGGAAUCUUUUGGCACUUCUAAAAAUGGUGCAGAAUAAGGGGUGGGCAAGUCUGGUGUCAGCCGCCGCGGUAAUACCAGCACCCCGAGUGGUCGGGACGAUUAUUGGGCCUAAAGCAUCCGUAGCCGGUCCUGCAAGUCUUCCGUUAAAUCCAGCUGCUUAACAGAUGGGCCGCGGGAGAUACUACAGGGCUAGGAGGCGGGAGAGGCAAGCGGUACUUUAUGGGUAGGGGUAAAAUCCGCUGAUCCAUAGAAGACCACCAGUGGCGAAGGCGGCUUGCCAGAACGCGCUCGACGGUGAGGGAUGAAAGCUGGGGGAGCAAACCGGAUUAGAUACCCGGGUAGUCCCAGCUGUAAACGAUGCAGACUCGGUGAUGGGUUGGCCUCGCGCCUGCCCAGUGCCGCAGGGAAGCCGUUAAGUCUGCCGCCUGGGGAGUACGGUCGCAAGACUGAAACUUAAAGGAAUUGGCGGGGGAGCAC